Amphiprion ocellaris (clown anemonefish) is the source of this 1148-nucleotide long non-coding RNA. NCBI's taxonomy places the organism in Eukaryota, Metazoa, Chordata, Actinopteri, Pomacentridae. The record is from Ensembl.
AGUUCCUUUCAACAGCGUUCUCAUCAGGGGUCGAUAAACAGGAUUAUUCUGGAAGGAUGUUCGCAUUUUGUUUGUUCCGUUUAAGAUUCUUCCGUAUUUCCCUGAUUUGACGGCAGGCAGGCUUUUAUUUUGAAGAUGUAGGACUGUGCAGAUAGACUGUUUUGUUGUCUGAGGAGCUUCUGAACUGUUGGAGAACCAGAACGUUCCGACGGAGUUCUGCUGCUUAACUCGAAGGUUUUCCUGAUGGAGUCUCUGCCGGUGAGGAGGAGGUCAUGUCUGCUGCGGCUCAGAGAGAACUGUCCUUUCAGGAACCUCCGCAGGAGAACUUACGAUGUGUCAGCAGCAGCCUCCUCUCAAACUGGUCCAAACUGGAAUAACAUCAGGCUGCCCGCUACCAACCAGCCAAUCAGCACAAUCUAUUCUCCAGACGAAUCAGAGGCCAGCGUUGACAUGGAAGAAAGUCCUCCACCUGUAGAAAAUCAGCAGAACCAGCAGCAGAAUCAGCAGAACCAACAGCACAAUCCAGACAACAGAGAUGAAGAUUGUAUGGGUGAAACUCGAUGAUGUUGACCCUGAAACUGGAGAGCGAGCACAAGGAUGACCCCGUCCCUACCUGUCAGUCACUGCUGCCCCGCCCCCAUACAGAUACACCUGGAUUUGUCUCUGUGUUUUACCAUGAAUACAAGGAACUUGAAAGCUGAGAGAUUUAACUUUUUCCCUGCUGUCACCUGAAUCACCUGUGCUCACCUGCAGCAGGUGUCUGAAGUUCCCAACAGACUUUAAUAUGGUUGUAUCUAAAACGGUCAACCUCUAGUUUAAAUGUCUGUCUUCUGACAGAAUUAAUUUCAGGUCUGAUGUUCUCCUAUAAACAGUUAUCAGUUGUUGAUUUGUAAACUAUUGAUAAUCAGGUUGAAUGAGAAAGUCCUCUAGGUGUGAUGCUCUGAGGUCACAGAUGAACUUGUGAGUUUUAAUGUUGGAUGUGUUUCCAGCUGAUAUUGUUAUUGUCUUGUGAUAAAGUUCAUCUGAGUAAAAAAAUAAAUAAUAUUUGGUAACCUGUGUCAUUUCUUAAUAUACAGCAACAUGGUGGCUCAGCCUGAUGUGAUUUCAGGCAAAGAAUAGUCUGUCAUUAAACAUCUGUCUAACAUCUG